Molecule: non-coding RNA, 20 nt
Filed under: Arabidopsis thaliana (thale cress)
Lineage: Eukaryota; Viridiplantae; Streptophyta; Magnoliopsida; Brassicales; Brassicaceae
Source: RNAcentral
GGGUCGAUGCCCGAGCGGUU